AUGACGGAGACAGGAACAGAAGCCACGGUAAGCCUAACUGAGAAAAAACGAGUGGUUAAGCCAACACUUAAAGCAUUGGAGUAUAAUCUGCAAACGAAAAUGAGCUCCAGAAGAGCCAUAUUAGGACAACUAACUGAGAAAAAGAACGAAUUGCAUGGUUUAAUGGAUGAUGAUGCAAAUGUGGAAAUCAUAGCAAAGGAAUUGUUGGCCAAGUAUGAAACACUGAUAAAGGAAUUCAGUAAAAUAAAUGCUGACGUUAAAGACAUAUUUUGCCAGAUUGAAUGCAUAGAGAAUUUGAACACAGAUCAAAGGGAUUGGUUUGAGCCAAGAAAUAACGAGCACAGAGAAUUUGUGCAAGAAGUGACAGCAUGGAUACAGAAUGCAAUACUACGCAGAGAAGAGGCUAACAAGGUUAGUGAGCAGAUACAUCCUGAAGAUAGUGUGUCAGUCACAUCCAGUAAGUCUAGAAAAUCUAAGUCUGUUUCUGCUACUUCUGCAACAUCGUCAGCUCGUGCUGAGCGCUUAAAGGUCGAAUUAGAGAGAGCUGCUCUGUUAGCCAAGUCAGCUACAUUGAGAAAAAGACAGACUUUAGAGGAGCAUGAACUAAAGCUCAAGGUUGAAAAAGAACAGUUGGAGCUGCAAGCAGGGCUCGCUGCAACUGAUGCACGAUUAGCCGUGUUAAGAAAAUAUGAAAGUUCAGAGGUGUCAAGUAGAACCAAAGGCAGUAGGGUGGAAAUAUUGAUGUCUGCGCCAAGGAAGCAUGAUGUCAGCCACAGUAAGAGAAGUGUAGCUAGCAGUGGAACUUGGCAUAGCCACACUAGUGGAAGAGGUGCAGAUGCAAUACGAGCUCCUGUCACUUCAGAUAAUCACACAGAUAAUCUGGUUACCGUCAUGCAACGGCAAAACGACAUCACUGAAAGCCUAAUAAAGCAGCAAAGGCUAUCUACAUUGCCAUCACCGAACAUUCCAGUUUUCAAGGGAGAUCCAUUAGAAUAUCGUCUCUUCAUGAGAGCCUUUGAGCAUCGUAUAGAAAGCAAGACUGAAAACAGCAAAGAUCGGCUUUACUAUCUAGAACAGCACACAAAUGGGCAGCCUAAUGACUUAGUGCGCAGCUGUUUUCAUAUGGAUCCAGAUCAGGGCUACUCCGAAGCCAAGAGACUGCUAAAGGAACGCUUUGGUGAUAAAUAUAAGAUAUCCAUGGCAUACCUUGACAAGGCUUUAAACUGGCCUGCCAUUAAAGCAGAUGACACCAAGGCACUUGAAGCAUACGCACUCUUUAUGACAAACUGCAAUAAUGCAAUGUCAGAUCUGGAGUACUUAGAAGAGAUGGAAAAUGCUGCUAACAUGCGUACGAUCAUCUCAAAGCUCCCAUACAGGCUGAGAGAGAGAUUCAGGAGUGUCGCCAUAGACAUUCAGAAAAAGCAAGAUCGGCGGACAAAGUUCAAAGACAUAGUGUCAUUUGUCAACACACAGGCUGAAAUAGCAGCACACCCUGUGUUUGGUGAAAUCUCAGGACAAACAAGGCGCCAGACUGAAAGGUUAAGUGGAAAGAAAAACAUCACAACACUAGCCACUGAAGUAAAAGAACAGAAAGCUGAGAAAGAUGCUGCUAGUGCCCGAAACAAGAAAGCUCAGGAGAAGGGAACAAACAUGGACAAAGCCUUCAUGAAACCUUGUAUCUUCUGUCAGGGAGAUCAUACCAUGGAACAGUGCAAGAAACUCCAAAGAAAGCUUCACAAAGAAAAGCUUGAAUUCCUGAAGAGUAAAGGACUUUGUUUCAGUUGUCUUAUAGGAGGACACAUGAGUAAUGCCUGUGAAGAAAAGAAAAGCUGUCAGAUAUGUUCAGCGACACACCCUACGCUCUUACACAUAAAGCAGAAAUUUAAAGACUUACCAAAGGAAGAGGCAUCACAGGAGGAGCCAAAAGAGGAGUCUCCAAAGGAAGAGCAAACCGUUGUCAGUGGAUUCGUGGAUGCAGGGGAAGCAUGCUCUCAGACUGGGGUCGGGGGUACCGGUAGUGUCCUCGCCAUCGUUCCUGUGAGGGUAAAGGCAAAGAAAGGCAACAAGGUGCUGACUUGUUAUGCAUUCAUGGAUCCAGGGAGUAACGCCUCCUUCUGCACUAACAAGCUGGCGAACGACCUUCACCUGCAAGGAAAAAAUGUGAACAUCCUACUCACUACUAUGGGAGACCAAAAGACAGUCUCAUGUAAAGCUGUAUCAGACCUAGAAGUGAGUAGCUUAGAAGGUGAUGACUUUAUCGAGCUUACAGGUGUUUUCGCACAAAAGGUUAUCCCCGCAAGUAAAGAGAACAUUCCAACCCAAGAAGACGUGGAUAGGUGGCCACAUCUACGAGGUGUACGAAUUCCAUCGAUCAACGCGGAUAUCGGUCUUCUCAUUGGGACUGAUGUGGCAAAGGCUUUGGAGCCAAAAGAGGUAAUCCGCAGUGUCAAGGAUGGGCCGUAUGCAGUACGCACAGCUUUGGGAUGGACAGUGAACGGACCGCUGCGUGAGAACUUCAGAAGCUGGACAAAGAAUGGAUACCCGCAGAUCCAGAUGAAUCGGAUCUCAGUGGCUCGACUCGAAGACUUAUGGACUCAGCAACUCAAGUACGAUUUUCCUGAGAAUGCUCAAGGAGAGCAGUUAGAAAUGUCUAAGGAAGACCAACUGUUUAUGGAGAGAGUUUCCAAAUCGGCAAAGCUGGUCAACGGACACUACUCUAUUGGUCUUCCGUUGAAGAACAAGGAUGUGAAAAUGCCCAACAACAGAGCAAUGGCAGAGCAACGAGUGCUCAACAUGAAAAAGAAGCUACAGAGAAAUCAAACGUUCAAAGAGGACUAUGUCAGCUUCAUGAAUGAUGUGAUAAAGAAGGGCUACGCUGUAAAGGUUCCAGAUGAAGAACUAAAACGGAGUGAUGGAAAGGUGUGGUUUAUUCCGCAUCACGGUGUCUACCACCCUAAGAAGCAUAAAAUGCGUGUGGUAUUCGACUGUGGCGCUUCAUAUCAAGGAACCACACUCAAUGAACAAUUACUGCAAGGGCCUGACAUGACAAGCAGUCUGGUUGGUGUCUUGACUAGAUUCCGUCAAGAGCGAGUCGCAAUCAUGGCGGAUGUGGAAUCGAUGUUCCACCAGGUCAAAGUCCCACCAGAAGAUGCCGACCUUCUCAGGUUUUUGUGGUGGCCGGACGGCGACACCUCAAAAGAAAUGCAAGAGUACAGAAUGGAGGUACACUUGUUUGGAGCCACCUCCUCACCAAGUUGCGCAAGUUAUGCGUUGAGAAGGUGUGCCGAGGACAACAAGAACAUGUUUGGUGCAGCAGUUGUGGAUACAGUCUUAAAUAAUUUUUAUGUAGACGAUUGUUUGAAAUCAGUUGCCACUGAACAAGAAGCAGUCAGACUACUACAAGACUUGAAGGCCAUCUGUCAAACAGGAGGUUUUAGACUGACAAAAUGGACAACGAACAAUCGAAAUGUGUUGUUAAACAUUCCACUUGAGGACCGGGCAACAGAAGUCAAAGAUCUCGAUCUUGACCAGGAUUCACUCGCCAUCAAGAGAGCUUUGGGAGUACAGUGGUGUAUCCGGUCAGAUCAGUUCAAGUUCCAUGUGCAUAUAGAGCAGAAGCCUCUCACCAGGAGAGGAAUCCUGUCUACGAUGAGUUCAGUCUACGACCCACUGGGAAUGUUGUCGCCAGUCAUACUGCCUGCUAGAAACAUCCUGCAAGAAUUGUGUAGACUAAGAACAGGCUGGGAUGACACUGUGCCAGAACAUUUCGCACAACAAUGGACAGAGUGGACUGAAGAACUUCAACAGCUCACUGACUUUGGAGUGGAUCGGUGCUUUAAGACACCUGAGUUUGGGAAAACAGUGCAAGCUCGGUUGCAUCACUUUUGUGACGCGUGCGAAACAGGCUACGGUACUGUUACUUACUUAGUCCAGAAGAACAGUAACAAUCAAAUACUCUGCUCAUUUGUCUUGGGAAAGGCAAGGGUUGCCCCUCUCAAACCACCAACUAUCCCGCGGAUGGAGCUGACGGCGGCUGCCUUAGCUGUGAAGGUGGAUGUCAUGCUGAAGAAAGAACUACAGUUGCCACUGUCAGAUUCCAGGUUUUGGACGGACAGUACUGCCGUACUCAGGUACUUAGCAAAUGAGAACAUCAGAUUUAAGACAUUUGUGGCGAAUAGGAUUGCCAUAAUCUUGCAAGCAUCAAAAGUGCAGCAAUGGAGCUACGUCAACACUCAGUUGAAUCCUGCUGAUUGCGCCUCCAGGGGACAAAAGGUGAGUGUCUUCAUGAAGAACGAAGUUUGGAUUGCAGGACCUGUCUUCCUCAGUAAACCUGAAAGGGAAUGGCCAGACAAACACGAUUACCUAGAAGAGCUCACGGCUGAAGAUCCUGAGGUCAAGAAAGGCAUACUUGUCAAUGCUACAACAGCAGAAGAAAGCACUGAUGCAAUGCAAAAACUAAUUGGAUACUAUUCUUCAUGGAUACACCUCAAGAAGGCUGUGGCGUGGCUCACACGACUCAAGGGAACCCUGGUAAACCUGUCAAGGAAAAGAAAGGAGAUGAAUGGAUUGUACAGUGAUCAACAACGGGUGGACAGGGAGAUGCUGAGCUACAAAAAGAGUCUCAAACAGACUUACCUGACUGUGGACAAUCUGCGACAAGCUGAGACGGAUAUCAUCAGCCAUUGUCAGCAAAGUAGUUUCCAAGAAGAGAUAUCUGCUCUUCGUAGAAAGGACUCCAUCAAGAAGAGUAGUCGAAUCUUCAGACUGAAUCCACAACUUGAAGAGGGAAUCCUUCGUGUUGGAGGGAGGCUCAGUCGGGCAUCCAUGCCAGCCGAAGCCAAGCACCCUAUAAUCCUGCCUAAGAACCAUCGUGUGGCUGAUCUGAUUCUCCAGGAUUCACAUGAGCGGCUGGGACACAGUGGACGUAAUCAUGUCUUGUCUCAUGUACGUCAAAAGUACUGGAUUAUCGAUGCUCUCUCGUCAAUUAGAAGAAUGCUGUCACGGUGUACUAUCUGUCGAAGACAACAUGGUGCAUCAGGCACACAAAUGAUGGCGGACUUACCAAGAAACAGAGUUGUACCAGACGAACCACCCUUCACCAGAACUGGAGUGGAUCUAUUUGGGCCAUUCAACAUUAAACGUGGAAGAUCAUCUGUAAAAAGAUAUGGGGUGAUAUUUACCUGCCUUGCAUGUCGUGCGGUUCACAUAGAAAUAGCAACAUCAUUGGAAACAGACUCCUUUAUUCAAGCUCUGCGUCGCUUCAUUGCAAGAAGAGGUCAGGUAAAGGAGAUGAGAUCUGAUAAUGGGACCAACUUUGUUGGAGCUGAUCAUGAGCUCAGAAAGGCAAUAAAGGAGUGGAAUACUUCACAAAUUGAGAACAGCUUGCUCCAACGUGACAUCAGAUGGUUAUUCAAUCCACCAUCCGGAUCCCACCAUGGAGGGGUGUGGGAGAGAAUUAUCCGCUCCAUCAGGACAAUCAUGGGUUCUACACUGAGAGAACAAAACUUGGAUGAGGAAGGUCUUCAGACGUUCUUCUGUGAAUGUGAAGCCAUUCUGAAUAGUAGGCCUAUUACCAUGCCUUCCAAUGACAUUAAUGAUCUGGAAGCUCUUACCCCACAGCACUUACUCCUGCUCAAGACUAACCCCAACUUACCACCAGGACUCUUCCAUAAGGAUGAUACUUAUGCACGUAAAAGAUGGAGGCAAGUCCAGUAUAUGAGCGAUCUAUUCUGGAAGCGCUGGACCAAGGAAUAUCUGCCUCAACUUCAGAAGAGACAGAAAUGGAACCAUCCAUCACGGAACUUCAUCCCGGGAGAUGUAGUCUUGAUUGUCGAUGAAUCAGCCCCCAGGGGAGCAUGGCUGAUGGGAAGAAUCGUUAAGACUAUGGAGGACGAGCAUGGAGUGGUCCGCAAGGUUCGAGUCAAGACUAAGACGAAUGAACUUGAGAGGCCGAUAACUAAACUCUGCUUACUUCAGGAAGCAGUAUGA
Long non-coding RNA from Cyprinus carpio (common carp), 5988 nucleotides. Lineage: Eukaryota; Metazoa; Chordata; Actinopteri; Cypriniformes; Cyprinidae. The record is from Ensembl.